CCCGGGCCAGCCGGGCUCCAUCCCGCGUAACGGUGACUGGGGCAGGCAAACGCCAUCGCUCCCAAUGUCCCCCCCUUUACUUCUUCUUCCCCCGGCUCUCGAGGCU
This is a long non-coding RNA of Egretta garzetta (little egret), 106 nucleotides long. RefSeq lists it as uncharacterized. The record is from RefSeq and is a predicted model, not a curated record. Lineage: Eukaryota; Metazoa; Chordata; Aves; Pelecaniformes; Ardeidae. The transcript is spliced from 3 exons.